Molecule: unclassified non-coding RNA, 391 nt
Filed under: soil metagenome
Description: partial contains 5.8S ribosomal RNA, internal transcribed spacer 2, and large subunit ribosomal RNA
Rfam family: 5.8S ribosomal RNA (bases 1-122)
Source: RNAcentral
GAUGAAGAACGUAGCGAAAUGCGAUACUUGGUGUGAAUUGCAGAAUCCCGUGAACCAUCGAGUCUUUGAACGCAAGUUGCGCCCGAAGCUAUUAGGCCGAGGGCACGCCUGCCUGGGCGUCACACGUCGUUGCCCCCCCAUCUACUCCUUCGGGAUUGCGGGGGGCGGAUGAUGGCCUCUCGUGCGCCUCGUCGCGCGGUUGGCCUAAAUGCCAAGUCCUCGGCGACGCACGCCACGACAAUCGGUGGUUGCGAACCCUCGGUUGCCUGUCGUGUGCGGUCGUCGCGCAUCGAGGGCUCGAAAAAAUUGCCGGGCUUCGGCUCGACUUUCAACGCGACCCCAGGUCAGGCGGGGUUACCCGCUGAAUUUAAGCAUAUCAAUAAGCGGAGGA